This is an RNA transcript of Capra hircus (goat), 2358 nucleotides long. It is a transcript of the gene named phosphate carrier protein, mitochondrial pseudogene, with no coding region annotated. Lineage: Eukaryota; Metazoa; Chordata; Mammalia; Artiodactyla; Bovidae. The record is from RefSeq and is a predicted model, not a curated record. The transcript has a single exon.
GGGAGGAAAGAGCUCAGGCUGAGGGAAGCGUGUGCCUAGACCCAGCGCGGCCAUGUGUGAUGCCGGCGGUUACCGAGCCCUGCGGGGGAGAAGCACAGGCCAACUCAAGGGCAGGCCCUGGGCAGCAGCCUUGGAGGAGUCCAGCUACGAGUACGGCUCCACGAAGUACCUACUGCUUUGCGGCCUGGGUGGGAUGCUGAGUUGCGGGCUGACGCACACAGCCAUCGUGCCUCUGGACCUGGUCAAGUGUCGCAUGCAGGUGGACCCCAGCAAGUACAAGGGCAUCCUGAGCGGCUUUGGCGUGACACUGCGGGAUGACGGGCUGCGCGGCCUGGCCCGAGGCUGGGCCCCGACCUUUCUAGGCUACUCCAUGCAGGGCCUCUUCAAGUUUGGCCUCUACGAGGUCUUCAAAAUCCGCUACGCGGAGCUCCUGAGCCAGGAGAAGGCCUACGAAUGGAGAACCGGGCUGUACCUGGCCGCCUCAGCCAGCGCCGAGUUCUUCGCCGACGUGGCCCUGGCCCCGAUGGAAGCGGUGAAGGUUCGCAUGCAGACGCAGCAGGGCUAUGCCCGCACGCUCCGGGCCGCGGCCCCCAAGAUGUACAGCGAGGAGGGCCUGUGGGCCUUCUACAAAGGCGUGGCGCCGCUCUGGAUGCGCCAGAUCCCCUACACCAUGAUGAAGUUCGCCUGCUUCGAGCGCACGGUCGAGGCGCUCUACAAGUACGUGGUGCCCAAGCCGCAGAGCCAUUGCACCAAAAGUGAGCAGCUGGCCGUGACCUUUGUGGCUGGCUACAUCGCUGGCGUCUUCUGCGCCGUGGUGUCCCACCCUGCGGAUUCUGUCGUGUCCGUUUUGAACAAGGAGAAAGGCAGCACGGCCUUCGACGUUCUCCGCAGGCUGGGGUUCAAGGGCGUGUGGAAAGGCCUGUUCGCCCGGAUCAUCAUGAUUGGCACCCUGACUGCCCUGCAGUGGUUCAUCUACGACUCGGUCAAGGUCUAUUUCAAAUUGCCUCGCCCUCCAGUCCCUCAAGCGCCCAAAUCCCGAAAGUAGGCACGGAUUGGAAGACUCCUGUGGCCACCGUUGGCCAGUAUUUCGAUUCCGUGGGGGGAAUGUUCAAAUAUUAGUCUGUAGGAUGUUAACGUUUGUGGAGAGGUGACAACGUGCAGACCUAGUUUUCUUUUAAGUGAUCCAUUCCUGCUUUUUGGCAAUCCAAGAGAAUUGCAACCGUUUCAUUUGGGAGUUUGGACCAUUGUCUUUGGGGAGUCUGCGUGGUUGCUUUAACUCAAUAGCUUUUCAGCAAUUAUAAGGGGAAAAAAUUCUUAACAGGAAGUAAUGUUAGGUGAUUUAGUGCCUCUAGGUUGUAUCUCCUUUGAUUCACCAUUCAGUGGAGAUUAUCCAGGCAUCACUACAAAAGAGCCUACUGAUAAGGUUUCAAGGUCAGCCCAACUAUAUGGGACAGAGAACAAAGUAAAAUUCUGCUACAUGGUGCUCAUCUCAAUAGAAAUCGUGCGCUUCUUGAAUAGAUGAAGGAUUCGUUCCAUAUUUCUUGUUCAUGUCCAUUGCAGAUAAAAAUUGUUGAAAGUUAAGUUGUGACUUACAUUUCCUGAUAGCUUAGAAUGCAUUCACUCUUUUCAAAGAGCGUGACAUGAGAUCUGCAUUUUCUCUUCCUGAUGUUGCUGAUUAGAACAUAGCUCGCUCCAGGAAGUGCUACAAUUGGAUCAAUGUGGAAAGCCAAGACAAGAUGAAGGGCAGGCUCGGAAUAAAUAUGUAAAGAAAAGUCUCUGUUCUCUAAAGAUUUCUUUUGUACAGUUCAGCUUUCAGCAGCUUUACAUCCAAAGAAGGUCAUACCACCCUGACAUUUAAACACAUACACACAUGAAACCUUCAAAUUCCAACAAUUUUUGGUUGAAUAUUAGUGGUUUUGGCGACUUUAAAAGGAAAAAUCUCAUUUUUAAUGUAACAAAUGUCAUUCAUUUAACUUGGUAUGUCAUUCAUUUACCUUGGUAGAUAUUUCAUUGAUCUUUGCAAUGGUUGAGGUUCAUAAAAUUUAUUGAAGUUAUAAAGCUCAUUUUCAGUUUUUGGUAGCCUUCACAUCUCUGAUUGUGGAAACUAUAAGUGAAAUUCUGUGAAUUAGAGAUGCUUAUAGAAUGUGAAUAAGAAACUCCACUAUAAUAUUUAAUGUGAUUAACCAAAUGUUGCACAAUUGCCCUAACACCUUGUAUUAAAAAACACAAACUUAAACAUAUGUUAAUGUUUUAACUAUGUAAUGGUAAACUGCUUAGUGGUUAACUGAAGUUAAAAAGUGCCUAAAUACAUUUGAACUGUCUUGAUUGGAUAAUAAAGAACUUGGAAGAAAAAAAUCA